This 451-nucleotide ribosomal RNA is filed under the name uncultured bacterium. RNAcentral's name for it is "bacterial SSU rRNA". It matches the Rfam family "Bacterial small subunit ribosomal RNA", at positions 354 to 796 of the family's 1533-position model. The record is from RNAcentral.
GCUAAGAAUCUUCCGCAAUGGGGGAAACCCUGACGGAGCGACGCCGCGUGGAUGAUGAAGGCCGUAAGGUUGUAAAAUCCUUUUGCAGGUGAAGAAUGGCGCGGGGAGUGGAAAGCCCCGCGGAUGACGUUAGCCUGCGAAUAAGCCCCGGCCAAUUACGUGCCAGCAGCCGCGGUAAUACGUAUGGGGCAAGCGUUGUUCGGAGUUAUUGGGCGUAAAGGGCGUGUAGGCGGCUUUUCAAGUCUGGUGUGAAAUCUCCGGGCUCAACCCGGAGCACGCGCUGGAAACUGGAAGGCUUGAGUUCUGGGGGGGAAGCUGGAAUUCCUGGUGUAGGGGUGAAAUCUGUAGAUAUCAGGAAGAACACCGGUGGCGAAGGCGGGCUUCUACUCAAGGACUGACGCUGAGGCGCGAAAGCGUGGGGAGCAAACAGGAUUAGAAACCCCAGUAGUCC